UACGAAGGGUGCAAGCGUUAAUCGGAAUUACUGGGCGUAAAGCGUGCGUAGGUGGUCUUUUAAGUCCGUUGUGAAAUCCCCAGGCUUAACCUGGGAACUGCAUUCGAGACUGCAUUGCUAGAGUAUGGGAGAGGGAAGUGGAAUUUCCGGUGUAGCGGUGAAAUGCGUAGAUAUCGGAAGGAACAUCAGUGGCGAAAGCGACUUCCUGGACCAAUACUGACGCUCAUGUGCGAAAGCGUGGGGAGCAAACAGG
RNAcentral lists this ribosomal RNA (253 nucleotides) under uncultured bacterium. RNAcentral describes it as "partial 16S ribosomal RNA". It matches the Rfam family "Bacterial small subunit ribosomal RNA", at positions 524 to 776 of the family's 1533-position model. The record is from RNAcentral.